AUCAGCAGACUCUUCUACACAUCUAAAUAGGGAUAAAACAAUAACUAAAAUCUAUUGUCUCACAUAAAAAUGUCUGGAAAAAGGAAAAGUUAAUAUUUUGUUAAUUCAGAGGCUUAAUGAUGAAGGGGCUCUGGAUUGGUAGUUCUGCAUUAAUCUUAUUUCCUCCUAACAUCAUUUCAGGUUGUCUGCAGCCCUUCCAAACAUUACAAGGUGGAUGUUGGUGUCUUCUAUACAGCCUGCACUCAGUGAAAUUCUCUUCAAAUAAAUUAGGAGAUUCUAUUUUUGGAUAUGAAAUAUCUUUAUCCAGUUCUGGAUGCUGCUUUAUGGCUCGAGUUUUUUUUAGAUUAGUGCAACCAUAUUGUUUCUCUAGUUUUUGAGAUGGAAUUUUUAAUAUCCACCAGAGCUUCAGGCUUUACAUGAUUCGAAGCAGCUCAUUAUAUUCAGAUAAUAAAAGGACUUUGCUUCUCAAA
This is a long non-coding RNA of Homo sapiens (human), 470 nucleotides long. RefSeq lists it as uncharacterized. The transcript is spliced from 2 exons. The record is from RefSeq and is a predicted model, not a curated record. Lineage: Eukaryota; Metazoa; Chordata; Mammalia; Primates; Hominidae.